Molecule: ribosomal RNA, 232 nt
Filed under: uncultured bacterium
Lineage: Bacteria
Description: partial 16S ribosomal RNA
Rfam family: Bacterial small subunit ribosomal RNA
Source: RNAcentral
CGGACGGGUGAGUAAUGUCUGGGAAACUGCCUGAUGGAGGGGGGUAACUACUGGAAACGGUAGCUAAUACCGCAUAACGUCGCAAGACCAAGGAGGGGGACCUUCGGGCCUCUUGCCAUCGGAUGUGCCCAGAUGGGAUUAGCUAGUAGGUGGGGUAAAGGCUCACCUAGGCGACGAUCCCUAGCUGGUCUGAGAGGAUGACCAGCCACACUGGAACUGAGACACGGUCCAG